This 425-nucleotide ribosomal RNA is filed under the name uncultured cyanobacterium. Its description in RNAcentral is "bacterial SSU rRNA". It matches the Rfam family "Bacterial small subunit ribosomal RNA", at positions 355 to 795 of the family's 1533-position model. Lineage: Bacteria; Bacillati; Cyanobacteriota. The record is from RNAcentral.
UGGGGAAUUUUCCGCAAUGGGCGCAAGCCUGACGGAGCAAGACCGCGUGAGGGAAGACGGUCUGUGGAUUGUAAACCUCUUUUGAUAGGGAAGAAGGACUGACGGUACCUAUCGAAUCAGCCUCGGCUAACUCCGUGCCAGCAGCCGCGGUAAUACGGAGGAGGCAAGCGUUAUCCGGAAUUAUUGGGCGUAAAGCGUCCGUAGGUGGUUGGUCAAGUCAGCUGUUAAAGCGCGGAGCUUAACUCCGUAAGGGCAGUUGAAACUGGUCAGCUAGAGUGCGAUAGGGGCAAGGGGAAUUCCCAGUGUAGCGGUGAAAUGCGUAGAUAUUGGGAAGAACACCGGUGGCGAAAGCGCCUUGCUGGGUCUGCACUGACACUGAGGGACGAAAGCUAGGGGAGCGAAUGGGAUUAGAUACCCCAGUAGUC